Molecule: ribosomal RNA, 253 nt
Filed under: uncultured bacterium
Lineage: Bacteria
Description: partial 16S ribosomal RNA
Rfam family: Bacterial small subunit ribosomal RNA
Source: RNAcentral
UACGUAGGGUGCAAGCGUUGUCCGGAAUUAUUGGGCGUAAAGAGCUCGUAGGCGGUCUGUCGCGUCUGCUGUGAAAACUCGGGGCUUAACCCCGGGCCUGCAGUGGGUACGGGCAGACUAGAGUGCGGUAGGGGAGACUGGAAUUCCUGGUGUAGCGGUGAAAUGCGCAGAUAUCAGGAGGAACACCGAUGGCGAAGGCAGGUCUCUGGGCAAUAACUGACGCUGAGGAGCGAAAGCGUGGGGAGCGAACAGG